GGUUAAGCGACUAAGCGUACACGGUGGAUGCCCUGGCAGUCAGAGGCGAUGAAGGACGUGCUAAUCUGCGAAAAGCGUCGGUAAGGUGAUAUGAACCGUUAUAACCGGCGAUGUCCGAAUGGGGAAACCCAGUGUGAUUCGUCACACUAUCGUUAACUGAAUACAUAGGUUAACGAGGCGA
RNAcentral lists this ribosomal RNA (181 nucleotides) under Pseudomonas aeruginosa. RNAcentral's name for it is "partial 23S ribosomal RNA". It matches the Rfam family "Bacterial large subunit ribosomal RNA", at positions 1 to 182 of the family's 2925-position model. RNAcentral also lists the same sequence under 3 other names. Lineage: Bacteria; Pseudomonadati; Pseudomonadota; Gammaproteobacteria; Pseudomonadales; Pseudomonadaceae. The record is from RNAcentral.